RNAcentral lists this ribosomal RNA (253 nucleotides) under uncultured bacterium. Its description in RNAcentral is "partial 16S ribosomal RNA". It matches the Rfam family "Bacterial small subunit ribosomal RNA", at positions 524 to 776 of the family's 1533-position model. The record is from RNAcentral.
UACGUAGGUUGCGAGCGUUGUCCGGAUUUACUGGGCGUAAAGGGCGUGCAGGCGGUUUGUUAAGUGCAGGGUGAAAGCUCCCGGCUCAACUGGGAGAGGUCCUUGCAUACUGGCGAACUCGAGGGAGGCAGAGGAAAGUGGAAUUCCCGGUGUAGUGGUGAUAUGCGCAGAUAUCAGGAAGAACACCCGUGGCGAAGGCGGCUCUCUGGGACGGUACUGACGCUGAGACGCGAAAGCGUGGGGAGCGAACAGG